RNAcentral lists this ribosomal RNA (280 nucleotides) under uncultured bacterium. RNAcentral describes it as "partial 16S ribosomal RNA". It matches the Rfam family "Bacterial small subunit ribosomal RNA", at positions 78 to 354 of the family's 1533-position model. The record is from RNAcentral.
CGUUUAGAGAGUGGUUUAGUGGCGGACCGGGUGAGUAACACGUGAGCAACCUACCUUUCAGAGGGGGAUAACAGUUGGAAACGACUGCUAAUACCGCAUAACGUUGUAAAAGGGCAUCCAUUUACAACCAAAAGAGAAAUCUGCUGAAAGAUGGGCUCGCGGCCGAUUAGAUAGUAGGCGGGGUAACGGCCCACCGGGGCGACGAUCAGUAGGGGUUCUGAGAGGAAGGUCCCCCACAUUGGAACUGAGACACGGUCCAAACUCCUACGGGAGGCAGCAG